Molecule: non-coding RNA, 194 nt
Organism: Triticum aestivum (bread wheat)
Lineage: Eukaryota; Viridiplantae; Streptophyta; Magnoliopsida; Poales; Poaceae
Source: Rfam
AUACCUUUCUCGGCCUCUUAGCUAAGAUCAAGUGUAGUAUCUGUUCUUAUCAGUUUAAUAUCUGAUACAUGAAUCUACGGAUUCAUGAGAUAUUAAGUUAUUUUUUUGUGAGGAGGGCUCGUUAUAGUGGCUUGCUAUUGAGCCCUGAGCGUCGUCUGGGUGUUGCACUAUAGCCCUGGACUGAUGCACCCCAA